AUCACAAGCUCUUUCUUAAUACUUGCAAUACUCUUCCUCUGUUUUUAUAUCAUUAGGGAGCUCCAGGAAUACCUGGAUUUUCAGGUCCCCCAGGUCUUCCAGGUGAACCAGGAGCUGCUGGCCCUCCUGGACGCUCGGGUGUUCCAGGAUGCAACGGCACAAAGGGCGAUCAAGGUUUUCCAGGUCCUCCAGGUAGAAGAGGUGCUCCAGGCAUUCCAGUAAGUGUCUUUGAAAUUGGUGAUUGUAUGAAUUUCUACCACUUACAGCCACUCAGUGAAGGAGUGUAAAGUCUCAGAUAAGCUGAUAUUGACAACAGGUGAAAUAUAUAAAUAAUCCCAUUUUAUUAGCAUGAAACAGUGCAGUAAAGAGAAAAAAGUUAAAAGUGAUGCUUAAUCUGCUGAGUGUCAGGCCUCAACUUCUUAAGGUGUGAAUGCACACACAUUCAUUGACUGGUGUUUGCUCUUCAGUG
This 469-nucleotide long non-coding RNA is filed under the name Anas platyrhynchos platyrhynchos (common mallard). RNAcentral's name for it is "lncRNA (ENSAPLG00000018047.1)". Lineage: Eukaryota; Metazoa; Chordata; Aves; Anseriformes; Anatidae. The record is from RNAcentral.